GGAUACUUCGGGUGUGGCUACGGCGUAAGUCCCUUGGAACAGGGCGUCAUAGAGGGUGAGAAUCCCGUCUUAAGUCGUUUGUCCAUGCCCAUGCGAAGUUCCUUCGACGAGUCGAGUUGUUUGGGAAUGCAGCUCUAAGUGGGUGGUAAAUUUCAUCUAAAGCUAAAUAUUGGCCGGAGACCGAUAGCGAACAAGUAGAGUGAUCGAAAGGUUAAAAGCACCUUGAAAAGGGAGUUAAAUAGCACGUGAAAUUGUUGAAAGGGAAGCGCUUGCAACCAGACUCGGUCAUAGGGGCUCAGCGAGCAUGCGUGCUCGUGUACUCCCCUGUGUUCGGGCCAGCAUCAGUUCUGGCGGUUGGUUAAAGGCCCUUGGAAUGUAUCAUCCUCCGGGAUGUCUUAUAGCCAAGGGUGUAAUGCAGCCAGCCGGGACUGAGGAACGCGCUUCGGCACGGAUGCUGGCGUAAUGGUUGUAAGCGGCCCGUCU
Molecule: ribosomal RNA, 483 nt
Filed under: Aphanoascus reticulisporus
Lineage: Eukaryota; Fungi; Ascomycota; Eurotiomycetes; Onygenales; Onygenaceae
Description: partial large subunit ribosomal RNA
Rfam family: Eukaryotic large subunit ribosomal RNA
Source: RNAcentral